AUUGAACGCUGGCGGCAGGCCUAACACAUGCAAGUCGAACGAGUGGCGGACGGGUGAGUAAUGUCUGGGAAACUGCCUGAUGGAGGGGGCUAAAUACUGGAAACGGUAGCUAAUACCGCAUACCAUCGGAUGUGCCCAGAUGGGUUUAGCUAGUAGGUGGGGUAAAGGCUCAACUAGGCGACGAUCCCUAGCUGGUCCGAGAGGAUGACCAGCCACACUGGAGCUGAGACACGGUCCAGAAUCCUACGGGAGGCAGCAGUGAGGAAUAUUGCACAAUGAGCGCAAGCCUGAUACAGCCAUGCCGCGUGUAUGAGAAAGGCCAUCGGGUUGUAAAGUACUUUCAGCGGAGAGGCGUUACCCGCAGAAGAAGCAACGGCUAACUCCGUGCCAGCAGCCGCGGUAAUAC
Molecule: ribosomal RNA, 406 nt
Filed under: uncultured bacterium
Lineage: Bacteria
Description: partial 16S ribosomal RNA
Rfam family: Bacterial small subunit ribosomal RNA
Source: RNAcentral